This is a long non-coding RNA of Pelodiscus sinensis (Chinese soft-shelled turtle), 1319 nucleotides long. RefSeq lists it as uncharacterized. The record is from RefSeq and is a predicted model, not a curated record. Lineage: Eukaryota; Metazoa; Chordata; Testudines; Trionychidae.
CCCACGCGAGGCACCGCGGCACUUCCCCAGCGCCCUCAGCGUCACACGUGGCAGCCCCUUCCCGCCAUUUCCAAUCUGGCCGCGCAAGAGGUCGGGCGGGGCAGCCACCUCUUCCACGGCGCCCGGCUGAAAUGGAGACGCCCCAGCGUGAACAAGGAAGCAAAGCUUAAGAGCUCCCCGAGGUCACCCCCUAGCGCUGUCCGCACAGCGUAGAGGGCAGCUCCGAAUAUGCUGAGCAGCUCCGCAGAGGGACCUGGAGAAACUGAGGAGCCACUUACUGCUCUCCCCUCGAAAAAGAAAUCACCCCGGGCUGGAAGGAAAACUCAGGAAAGUUACCUGGAAACCAGACCGACCUGCUGCAAAAGUGUCUUUAUGAAUCUUCUGGCUCUUCUACUGGAUCUGUCUAUGCCUACUACCAUUUUGACAGAUUAAAAUCCAAAGGUUGAGGGUCAUCAACUCUGUUAUGCUGUGCAGGGUCAUCCGCCUGGGAGCCCUGGACCCCAUCAGGGCCGGAUUUGCUGCCCUGGGCUUUCCUCACUGCGGAGGAGCGACUGAUGGGGGCCCACAUUCCGAUCCGCGCACCAUAGCAUCGAGCCACCCAGUACAUGAACAGAAAGGGCGAUUUCUCCUUGUUGCUACAGGCCCUGGUCGAACACCGGGGGACAGUUUUUGGAUAUUUUUGUUGGGUGGUUGGGCUGGACACACAAUGCCCACAUAUUCAGGAACUCUAGCCUCUACCAGAAGCUGGAGGCUAGCAUAUUCUUCCCUCGGUGGACUUUCGCGUGGGGGACAUAGAGAUGCCACUCUGCAUCAUUGGGGAUGCACCCCGCUCACUAAUGCCAUGGCUCAUGAAGCCCUACACUGGCCACCUGGACCCCACCAGAGAACAAUUCAAUGUGCAUCUCAACCGGACCCGCAUGCAGUUGGCGUGCGCCUUUGGCAGCCUCAAGGCGAAGUUCAGGUGCCUCCUGACUCGCCUCGACGUGGGGGAGCACAACAUCCCCAAGGUGGCCACAGCAUGUUGUAUUCUCCACAAUAUAGUGGAGAGCAAGGGGGAGGCUGUCCUCCCAGGGUGGGGGACAAAGGCUGGCUGUGAGGGAAGGGCAUUCGACCAGCUGUGCACAGCUGCCAUUCGCCAGGCCCAUCAGGCCGGUGUGCGCAUCCAGAAGGCCCAGGGGGAGAGGUUCUCUGAAGGACCCCAGUAACUCUCCACAGGGCCUCCCCACUGCAGGCUUGUGCCUUGCCCCCCCUACAGCUUUCCCCUACAAUCCUUCCCUUCCCCCCUUCCCUGUAUAAUUAAUAAAGACACGAGGUGUGAG